Non-coding RNA from Boeremia exigua, 104 nucleotides. The record is from the annotation of a RefSeq genome assembly. NCBI's taxonomy places the organism in Eukaryota, Fungi, Ascomycota, Dothideomycetes, Pleosporales, Didymellaceae.
GACACGAUGGCCGAGUGGUCUAAGGCGGUAGAUUUAAGCCGCGCCCUGCAGCGCUUAGAUCUCUACUACAGUAAUGUGCGUGGGUUCGAACCCCACUCGUGUCA